Bison bison bison is the source of this 150-nucleotide small nucleolar RNA. The record is from Ensembl. Lineage: Eukaryota; Metazoa; Chordata; Mammalia; Artiodactyla; Bovidae.
UCUGCACAUUGUUAGAGCUCGGCGUUGAAGCCACUGGCCGAUGAACUCACAAGUAUAGGCAGUGUGCUAAAUGAGGAGCAAGUUUUUCUCUAGCACCUCAAGGGUCUCUGGCCUAAAGUAUGGAGUUUGAUAGUAAUACUUGCUAUAAAA